This 454-nucleotide ribosomal RNA is filed under the name uncultured bacterium. RNAcentral describes it as "partial 16S ribosomal RNA". It matches the Rfam family "Bacterial small subunit ribosomal RNA", at positions 28 to 507 of the family's 1533-position model. The record is from RNAcentral.
GAUGAACGCUGACAGAAUGCUUAACACAUGCAAGUCCACUUGAACUUCGGUUUGGGUGGCGGACGGGUGAGUAACGCGUAAAGAACUUGCCUCACAGUUAGGGACAACAUUUGGAAACGAAUGCUAAUACCUGAUAUUAUGAUUUUAGGGCAUCCUAGAAUUAUGAAAGCUAUAUGCGCUGUGAGAGAGCUUUGCGUCCCAUUAGCUAGUUGGAGAGGUAACGACUCACCAAGGCGAUGAUGGGUAGCCGGCCUGAGAGGGUGAACGGCCACAAGGGGACUGAGACACGGCCCUUACUCCUACGGGAGGCAGCAGUGGGGAAUAUUGGACAAUGGACCAAGAGUCUGAUCCAGCAAUUCUGUGUGCACGAUGAAGUUUUUCGGAAUGUAAAGUGCUUUCAGCUGGGAAGAAAAAAAUGACGAUACCAACAGAAGAAGUGACGGCUAAAUACGUG